AUUGAACGCUGGCGGCAUGCCUUACACAUGCAAGUCGAACGGUAACAGGUCUUCUGCUGCUGACGAGUGGCGCACGGGUGAGUAAUACAUCGGAACGUGCCCGAUCUUGGGGUAUAACGAGGCUAAAGCUUUGCUAAUACCGCAUACGAUCUACGGAUGCAAGCGGGGGAUCUUCUGGCCUCGCUCGGACGGAGCGGCCGAUGGCAUAUUAGGUAGUUUGUGGGAUAAACGCUUACAAAGCCGACGAUCUGGAGCUGGUCUUGGAGGCUGAUCAGCCGCACUGGGAGUGGGCCAGCGACCCGAGUACUAAGAGACGCAGCAGACGGGAAUGUUGGGCAACAGGCGAGAGUCUUAUACAGCCAUCCCGAGUGUAAGAUGAAGGCGUUCGGGUUGUAAACAGCGUCUGUACGGAACGAAAAGCUUCUAUCUAAGAAAGAGGGGUAAUGACGGUACCGUAAGAAUAAGCGCCGGCUAACUACGUG
RNAcentral lists this ribosomal RNA (482 nucleotides) under uncultured bacterium. RNAcentral's name for it is "partial 16S ribosomal RNA". It matches the Rfam family "Bacterial small subunit ribosomal RNA", at positions 30 to 507 of the family's 1533-position model. The record is from RNAcentral.